GGCUGUUUGUAAUAAGGGAGCAUAAGUAUAUUUCAUUUGUAAAACGUAAUUCUUUUGGUUCCUUUGACUUUUUCAACAUUUUUAUUUUAUUUCUAUCGGGAGUGUAUAAAUUCUUGCAAUGCCAAGCUAUGAAUUCCCCAAUUUAAAUUCAUUUAAUGUUUAGUAAAUUACAGUUGCCAUUUCAGCAAUGUUUAAAUUUCAAACAGACUAGACUGCCGUACAUUGUGUUAUUAGUCAAAUGGUUGGCGUCUCAGGAUUUCCUGUAUUUUCAUAUGUAAAUCUAAAAUUGUCGAGGACGAUUCCUACAUAAGAGUGUUAGUAAGCAUAGUUGGUAUAAGUUUUGUAAGUGACCUUCACACGUCGUGAUAGUAUAAAAGGUAUUGCUCCUAAUUCAUAUUUCAUUUUAAAGGCAUAUCCUGAAAGCUAAACAUCCAUAGUUUUAAAACAUGAAGACUAGGAGAUUGGUUGUUUUUCUAGUAGUUGUAUUUGCCUAUAUAAUCAUCGGGAUUACGGCGGAAAAGAAUGUAAUCGAUAGAAAUAGUCCCUUGCGCAAUAUUCUAAAACGGAAUCCCUACCUAAUCAAGCGGAAUCCCUACCCAAUCAAACCUUCUUUUGCAGUCAGAAGACAAGGUAUAUACAAUUCUGAUUCAAAGAAAAAGACGAGGAUGUGUAGAAGAAGAGGCGUGAAUUGUAGGUUUGUGGAAAAGAAGAAAGCUACAGUGUGAUUUUACAAUUUGACUACCACUGAGGUACAUCACUGUGUAUAUGCGGACUUUCUAACAAUUUACUGUGAAUGAAAAAUUGAUAACAAACGUUGAAAAACAAUUUUUCCAGACGUGGCCAAGUGAUGUUUAAAUACUUCCAAGGUAUUCAGAAUUUUUAUAACAAAUUUUGGUCUGAAAACCUAUCUUCAAUAUCUACCUAAGAAACUUAGCAGCAGCUUCCUGAAAUGUCUUAUCCCAAACCAUCGCCCCCAGUAGAGACAGGCCGAUAGUUUAGUAUACCAUAUAACGGAAGAUUAUGUGUUUUAUGUUAUGAAACAAACAGUUUCAGCUGUAUACCAUUUUGUGUUGGAGUGCAGUGCUUUUAUCGGUAUAAGAAAAAUUACCUACACAGAAAAUAUUGUACAAGACCAAAUGUAAUGAAAUGAAAGGUGUUAUAAAAUGUUAUAAAAUCAUGUCAACCAGUGAUGUUAAAAACCUUUAAAAAAACUAAACAUGUUUAUUCGAAAGAUACAUGUGUUCGCCUUAUCAUAAAACUUCACAUUUUUGAACAUAUUUAUGCAUAUAUUUACAUACAUAUAUACAUUCUUCUGAUGUUACUUGUAUUAAUACGUAAAAUUUGUAUAUUGUACCUCAAGUACCACUUUCAUUGUGGUUUGAGCAAAUGAAAAUAAAUGAAUGAUUACGUUUGUCAGAAUAUGUUAA
This is a long non-coding RNA of Ostrea edulis (European flat oyster), 1427 nucleotides long. RefSeq lists it as uncharacterized. The transcript is spliced from 2 exons. NCBI's taxonomy places the organism in Eukaryota, Metazoa, Mollusca, Bivalvia, Ostreida, Ostreidae. The record is from RefSeq and is a predicted model, not a curated record.